CGAGCGGAUGAAGGGAGCUUGCUCCUGGAUUCAGCGGCGGACGGGUGAGUAAUGCCUAGGAAUCUGCCUGGUAGUGGGGGAUAACGUCCGGAAACGGGCGCUAAUACCGCAUACGUCCUGAGGGAGAAAGUGGGGGAUCUUCGGACCUCACGCUAUCAGAUGAGCCUAGGUCGGAUUAGCUAGUUGGUGGGGUAAAGGCCUACCAAGGCGACGAUCCGUAACUGGUCUGAGAGGAUGAUCAGUCACACUGGAACUGAGACACGGUCCAGACUCCUACGGGAGGCAGCAGUGGGGAAUAUUGGACAAUGGGCGAAAGCCUGAUCCAGCCAUGCCGCGUGUGUGAAGAAGGUCUUCGGAUUGUAAAGCACUUUAAGUUGGGAGGAAGGGCAGUAAGUUAAUACCUUGCUGUUUUGACGUUACCAACAGAAUAAGCACCGGCUAACUUCGUGCCAGCAGCCGCGGUAAUACGAAGGGUGCAAGCGUUAAUCGGAAUUACUGGGCGUAAAGCGCGCGUAGGUGGUUCAGCAAGUUGGAUGUGAAAUCCCCGGGCUCAACCUGGGAACUGCAUCCAAAACUACUGAGCUAGAGUACGGUAGAGGGUGGUGGAAUUUCUUGUGUAGCGGUGAAAUGCGUAGAUAUAGGA
RNAcentral lists this ribosomal RNA (643 nucleotides) under Pseudomonas aeruginosa. Its description in RNAcentral is "bacterial SSU rRNA". It matches the Rfam family "Bacterial small subunit ribosomal RNA", at positions 63 to 701 of the family's 1533-position model. Lineage: Bacteria; Pseudomonadati; Pseudomonadota; Gammaproteobacteria; Pseudomonadales; Pseudomonadaceae. The record is from RNAcentral.